This is a long non-coding RNA of Callithrix jacchus (white-tufted-ear marmoset), 3370 nucleotides long. Lineage: Eukaryota; Metazoa; Chordata; Mammalia; Primates; Cebidae. The record is from Ensembl.
AGGGCACCCGCAGGCACACUCGCGAGCGCGCUCACACAGAAGCCGUCAGGCACAAAGUCACCCCUGUCCAACACAGAAACGCGGCCAGAAACAAACACAGAAGCACCAGAAGCACAAAGGCAUCGUGACACACACAAAAAGUAAACACAAGCCGGCUUAGAGGCAUGCAGAGCGACACAGAGGCGGAUGUCUCUAUCUGGACAUUUGGCAAGACCGCAGGAGGUGACUUCAGCAGCUGCCGAUUUCCUCAGCACACUCACUGUCAAGUACUUUCGGUGCCCUCUUUGGGAAUUUGCAGGCAUCAAGACAGUUUUACCCUUUGGAUUUCAUUCGGAGAGGGGAAUUGCCUCUGGUAGGAUGCAUUUAGGAAGAGGCAGUGUUUGUUAUGCAGCAACGUCAUCUACCCAAACUGUGGAACUAAAAACCUCCUUCCUGUUUGUGAAGUAUCUGAGCCCUUGACUUGUGCUAAUGGGAUACACCGCAGUGUGAUACAAGGAGCAUGGGCUUUGGAGACAGAGGAAGUAAUCUGGUUUGCAAUCAUGACUGUCCUUGACCAGCUGUGUGCUUCAGGCAACAUGCUUUAGGCUUCUGGGCCUCAGAGGGCUUAUGUGUAAAAUGAGGAUAAAAUGUCUUGGAUGGUUAUGGAAGAAAUAAAUGGAAUACAUAAAAAACUAGAUUUGAAAAGGAAGUUAGAGAACCAAGAGACAUGACAACAAACAAAUCAGCAUAACUUGGAUUGGCUGGGGGGUCGGGGGAUGAGUCAAGAGAGUUGUGGAGGCCAUUAAGCAGGGUGCAAGGAAAGCAGCGGACUAAGUGUGGCUGUAGGACAGGAAGGGGUGAUGAAUUCAGAUAUGACCACAUUGAAUUUGAGGUUUUGGUGUGACAUCAAAAUGGAAGCUAAAAACAUCAUAAUGAUUAGGAGUUGAGAAAUUGAAAUGAUGUAUCUGUGGGUGGUCAUGAUCAUGGUGGAAGCAUUCCCUGAAUAGCAGUACUCUCUGAGGAUGUUUUGGAUUGCUAAAUGAAAUAAUGCAUUUAAGGAACUUAGCAUCUUGUUUCAAAAAAAAGUAUUUAUUGUUAUUUCCGUCAUCAUCAUUAUCAUCAUCUUGGAUUUCCUGGGACAACCCCAAUUUCUGGAAAUUAAACUAGAUUCUUCAAGGGCAGUCCUUCAAAUGAAUAAAUAAAUUCAUCUAAGAGGGAAAAAAUUCUUUGUCUGCAUCAACCUACAAACACUGGUAACAUUUGGGGUGGAUUUGGAGGGAUGUCCAAAUGUUGGAUUCCCUGGCAGCUGCCUCUGAGAUGAAGAUUUGUAGGCAAGUGAUUGAGGAAGGAAAGCUCCCAAAAGAAAAUAGUCAGGAGUGGGAGAAGCAGCUCAGAGAGGGGAAGAAGCAAAGGCAAAGACCCAGUGUAGUCUUAUCCUGGAAGCAGCUCUGGAGCCUACUGUUUGGUUCUAAGUCCUUCUUUCUCCAAGUCUUGGUUAUAAAGCUCUAAACAAGUUACUUAAUCUUUCUGUGUCACACUUUCCUUGUCUGUAAAUUGGUGCUGUUGAUAUUAUCUCACAACCUCAUGAGGUUGUUAUGAAGAUCAAAUGAGCUAAGGUCUAUAAAGUGGUAAGAACUGACGUGGCACAUAGUUGGUGCUGAAUUAAUUAUUGAUAUUAAACCCAUGGAAGCUCUGUUGACUAUGGCACUGAGGAAACCUUCCACAGGGGAGAGAUAGUGCAUACAACUUCUUGUAUUGAAGAACCCGUAAGUGCAAACUGCCCAGUGCCAGAGCUUAAGAAAGGGAAUUACAAAACAUUUUUUAGGGCUUGGAGGAAAGAAGAAGUAGAAUAGUUGUGGAGAUCACGCGGCAUCUGCCUCAGAAGAGGAGGUCAAGGAGCAGGGCGGAAGGGGAAACAAUGGGAGUUGAUAAAACAGAUGAUGGCUGAAGGACAGAGGAAGGAAAGGAAACAGGGUGGCCUCUCUCCGAAGCAGUGCCUUCUUCUGGGAGGCACAGAGGGAGAGAUCUCACUGGGUCAAGGAGAGAAGGUCAAGGUGCCCCAGCUAAGUUUAAUCGCUAUGAGGUGGUGGAACGUGCCCUGGGCCUGGGGAAGGGAGAGUCUUGUCCUGGCCUUCUCACCUACUGUGUGACUGCCUCUCUCUGGGACUCAGUCUCCUCUCUUGUAAAGUGAUAAAGUCAAAUCAAGUGAUCUUUAAAAUCUGUGCUUGGCACCUCAUAGUUAAUUGGUGGUGGUUAAGGGGGUCUGAAAAACAAAAAGCAUGUUUUUUUGUUUAUCAUGCUUAUAUUAUAUACGAGAAGCUGGGCUUGGCCACUUACGUAUUCCCUUCUUCUGUACAACUUUACAAAAUAGACACAGUUAUUCCUAUUUUACAGAUAAAACACUGAAGUGAUCAGGCAGCUUGCCUUGGGUUACACUGUAGGUAACAGGAAGAGAAGGAACCUAGCUCUGUCUAAACAAAAGUCUCACUCUGCACCACUAACAGGAUUCAGAUGCAACAGUCCAGGCUCAAUCGAGCCUGCAUGCUCAGGCUGCUGAAAAGGAAAUUCCCUGGUUUUGAGGGUCUCACAGCUGAGUUUUACCAGACUACUGGAGCAAAGAGGCAGCAGUUUCCUAUCACUUAUGGGAAAAAUGCCAAAUGACCAAGAUGUAGGGCCAACUACCCUGGUCACAAUUUCUAAAAAGAGAGGGAGGAUGUUAGGGCUUGGAAGUCACUGACUGUGAGCCUCCAGGCUUUGCUUGUGCCCCUUCCUCCAUUCACAACACUUCUUUCCUUAUUUCCUCAUCUCCUGCACAAAUCCCCACUCCCAACACACACACACACACAGACACACACACACACACAGACACACACACACACAGACACAACUUAAGCUUCUUAAAGUUAUAACAUAUAAAGAAAUGAACAAGGAGGCAGGGUCCUUACCUGUAAGAAACACACAGGCUAGUAGUAGAGAUUAGCACAUAAACUUGACUUCCAUGUAAUAGAGUAAAUACUACGAUUGAGCUAGGAACUUGAGUUUCUUAGUUCCUUAAAUGUCAGGUGUGUAUGUAAAGAUAUUGUUUCAGGCCAGGUGCAGUGGCUCAUGCCUGUAAUCUCAGUACUUUGGGAGGCUGAGGAGUGCAGAUCACGAGUUCAGGGGAUCAAUACCAUCCUGGCCAACAUGGUGAAACCCCAUCUCUACUAAAAAUACCAAAAAAAUUAGCAGGGCUUGGUGGCACGUGCCUGUAGUCCCAGCUACUCAGGAGGCUGAGGCAGGAGAAUUGCUUAAACCCAGGAGGCAGAGGUUGCAGUGAGCCAAGAUCGCACCACUGCACUCCAGCCUGGAGACAGACUCAGACUCCGUCUCAAAAAAAAAAAAAAAAAAAAAA